UGGGGAAUUUUGGACAAUGGACGCAAGUCUGAUCCAGCCAUGCCGCGUGCGGGAAGAAGGCCUUCGGGUUGUAAACCGCUUUUGUCAGGGAAGAAACGAGUUUCUCUAAUACAGAGACUUAAUGACGGUACCUGAAGAAUAAGCACCGGCUAACUACGUGCCAGCAGCCGCGGUAAUACGUAGGGUGCGAGCGUUAAUCGGAAUUACUGGGCGUAAAGCGUGCGCAGGCGGUUAUACAAGACAGAUGUGAAAUCCCCGGGCUCAACCUGGGAACUGCAUUUGUGACUGUAUAGCUAGAGUACGGCAGAGGGGGAUGGAAUUCCGCGUGUAGCAGUGAAAUGCGUAGAUAUGCGGAGGAACACCGAUGGCGAAGGCAAUCCCCUGGGCCUGUACUGACGCUCAUGCACGAAAGCGUGGGGAGCAAACA
RNAcentral lists this ribosomal RNA (427 nucleotides) under uncultured bacterium. Its description in RNAcentral is "bacterial SSU rRNA". It matches the Rfam family "Bacterial small subunit ribosomal RNA", at positions 355 to 774 of the family's 1533-position model. The record is from RNAcentral.